UACAGAGGGUGCAAGCGUUAAUCGGAAUUACUGGGCGUAAAGCGUGCGUAGGUGGAUAUUUAAGUCAUAUGUGAAAGCCCCGGGCUUAACCUGGGAAUUGCAUCUGAUACUGGGUAUCUAGAGUACAGUAGAGGGCAGUGGAAUUUCUGGUGUAGCGGUGAAAUGCGUAGAUAUCAGAAGGAACACCGGUGGCGAAGGCGGCUGCCUGGGCUGAUACUGACACUGAGGCACGAAAGCGUGGGUAGCGAACAGG
Molecule: ribosomal RNA, 253 nt
Filed under: uncultured bacterium
Lineage: Bacteria
Description: partial 16S ribosomal RNA
Rfam family: Bacterial small subunit ribosomal RNA
Source: RNAcentral